AUGUUGGAUUCAUAACUGUUUGUGCCUUCGUUACUGCUUUUAUUUGCUUUAGUGUUAAUAUUUUACUGGUCAACUGAGGAAGUUGCCUGUGGUUCCUGUUUCCCUUUUCUUUUGAAGGAUGACAGAAGCUGGUUUGAUCCUCUUUAUUAUUUUAUAUGUGACACAGAGUCCCUAACAGAUGCCAAUGGUUUGAGCUUAGGAUUUGAACUUGGCAGUUCUGAGUUAAAAUCUUUUUUAGGGUUGGAGUGUGAGGGUUUAUGGAUGUAGGAAGGCUACACUCUAUCGCACAUCUGGUAACCAAGAAUGAUAAAUAGGGAAUCUGUAUUGGAAUUGGAAUGGGAAGGAUGGGUUUAAUGUGCACGGCAUGAAGAACUAGGAAGGAGAUUAGAGCUAUGCAAUAUCCAUAAUAAAUUUAACUGUAUGAUGGUGGUAGCGGCUUAGGGAUAGUCACCUUGGGUUUUGGGUGGGGGGGGGGGAUGAAUGUUAUAAAUGCAGUGUAAUUUUAUGGAUGUGUUAUUGGCUUUAGUUUUAUAACCUGCAUCCUGUCAGUGGCUAUAAAAUAUGGAAGGAUCUCUUUUCAUUUCUUCUCUAGUUCUCAUAGCCAUUGCUUUCCUAGCACCAUGGAUGGAAAUGAAUGAACUUCUUUUCUUUUCUAUU
Molecule: long non-coding RNA, 657 nt
Organism: Populus nigra (black poplar)
Lineage: Eukaryota; Viridiplantae; Streptophyta; Magnoliopsida; Malpighiales; Salicaceae
Exons: 2
Source: RefSeq, a predicted model, not a curated record